AUUACUGGGCGUAAAGAGCUCGUAGGUGGUUUGUCGCGUUGUUCGUGAAAUCUCACGGCUUAACUGUGAGCGUGCGGGCGAUACGGGCAGACUUGAGUACUGCAGGGGAGACUGGAAUUCCUGGUGUAGCGGUGGAAUGCGCAGAUAUCAGGAGGAACACCGGUGGCGAAGGCGGGUCUCUGGGCAGUAACUGACGCUGAGGAGCGAAAGCGUGGGGAGCGAACAGGAUUAGAUACCCUGGUAGUCCACGCCGUAAACGGUGGGUACUAGGUGUGGGUUUCCUUCCUUGGGAUCCGUGCCGUAGCUAACGCAUUAAGUACCCCGCCUGGGGAGUACGGCCGCAAGGCUAAAACUCAAAGAAAUUGACGGGGGCCCGCACAAGCGGCGGAGCAUGUGGAUUAAUUCGAUGCAACGCGAAGAACCUUACCUGGGUUUGACAUGCACAGGACGCCGGCAGAGAUGUCGGUUCCCUUGUGGCCUGUGUGCAGGUGGUGCAUGGCUGUCGUCAGCUCGUGUCGUGAGAUGUUGGGUUAAGUCCCGCAACGAGCGCAACCCUUGUCUCAUGUUGCCAGCGGGUAAUGCCGGGGACUCGUGAGAGACUGCCGGGGUCAACUCGGAGGAAGGUGGGGAUGACGUCAAGUCAUCAUGCCCCUUAUGUCCAGGGCUUCACACAUGCUACAAUGGCCGGUACAAAGGGCUG
RNAcentral lists this ribosomal RNA (700 nucleotides) under uncultured Mycobacterium sp. RNAcentral's name for it is "bacterial SSU rRNA". It matches the Rfam family "Bacterial small subunit ribosomal RNA", at positions 550 to 1249 of the family's 1533-position model. Lineage: Bacteria; Bacillati; Actinomycetota; Actinomycetes; Mycobacteriales; Mycobacteriaceae. The record is from RNAcentral.